GUGAUUCCCAAAAUGGGCAAUGCUAGUACAAUCCCAGGACAGCUUCUACGUCCAAGACCAAACGGCAAGUACCUGAAGUCGUUACCGUUUGCUUCCACAUGCGCCUCUUCUUCAAGAAACCUCUCCGGCCUAAACUCUUCAGGUUUCUUCCAGCUCUCAGAGUUGUUCGCUAGCCACCAGGCAUUGACCAAGAUUUUGCUUUCUGCUGGGAUGUCAUAGCCAGCGAGCUUAGCGUCCUUGAGGUUCAUGUGUGGUACGAGGAGUGGUACACCCAUUCUUAGACGAAGUGUCUCCUUGAGCACGACUUGGAGGUAUGGAAGCUUGUGAAGGUCAGGCUCUGUGACUUGCACGCCUGGUCCAAGAACCGUGUCGAUUUCGUUUCUUAGCUUGCUCUGAAUCUCAGGAUGGUUCACUAGCUCCGCAAUUCCCCAUUCAAUAGACCAUAGUGUUGUCUCAAUAGCUGUUUCGGCAUAUAUUACCCAAGAAAUCAGCAUCAUAAAACUGUAUAAAUGUCCAUUAAGAUUCAAGUCUUUUUCAGGGGAGACAAGUGACAAUGCAAUUUGCCUACCCUACAAGGCUACAAGGAUAAUAAAAAGGAAAAGAUAAAAAAAAUUUCUUUUGAUUUUUUAAGUUUGUAAGUAAUUUUGGAUUUUAGAAUUUUUUUUUAUAACACAAACAUGUCCUCAAACCGAAGGAGACUGCAAAGAUUCGAACUAGAUCCGAACUUAACCCAAUUAUAUAUAUAUAUAUAUAUAUAUAAAUACCUGAAUGAUAGUUAAGACAUCUGCAAUAGGAAUACCUCAAAAAGUAUUUCCCAUAAAAUUAAUAUAAAAAACUAAAAAAAAAAUAGGAGACACAUGUAUUUAGUGAGAAUCUAUUUUUACCAAGGUACUCAAGAAACAAUGAUGAUUAAGUUUCUAACAUAUGGCAAUGUUUUAGUGGUGUAAAUUAAAAAAACAAAAAUUAUAAUUUUAUAUUAAUUACUACUUAUUUAUUAUUUUCUAAGAAACCCAUUCACAUUCAACCACUGCUGGUGCUAAACUUCUUCCCAAAAAAAUCCAAAAUCCAAACCGAACCUUAUCCGAAUAGGUAUCCGAACUCCUGACUACACUGAACCUGUGAAAGUGCAUAAAGGGUAAGGAAGUUAACCAGCUACGUUGAUGUUCUCGACGAUAUAAAGAACGUUGUCCGCAUUGAUUUCUCCCUUCUCUUCAGCUUCAAGGAUGUGAUCAAUGGCGUAUUUCACGCUUCCCGUAGGCUUAGCACUCGCAAUCUCCCUGUUUGGUUUCCUCAAAUGUCAAUUUCAAGAUCCCAAAAUGGAAAUACAUAAUCUAAAGAGACCACAAACUCACUUCCUCUCGUCUACAAAGUACUUCUUGAAGAGCGCUAGUCUUCUCUCUUUCACAUCUUGGCAGCUCUUCAAAUAGCCUCUAAGGAACGGCCUAAGGAUAGGAAUGAAAUCUCCAUAGUUAUACUCAAAGCUCUGAGUCAACCUGCUUCUCUCCCCGUUCAAGAACUUGAGCCGGAGGAGAAGAGGAUCAUCUUCACUCUCGAACCUUUUACCGAACAUAACACGGAACAUGUUGUUGUACAUCAUCAACUGCAAACGCUUCCUCGCCACGAUCCCUUUCGUGGCCGCGUCAGGGUUCUUCUUCACUUCCUCCACAACGCUCGCAGCUUCGAACUCCCAUCCUUCCCGGUUCUGCUGGACCACCUUGUUGGUGAAGAAGGGAACCGUCAUGAUACGUCUCAUCUUCCUCCAGUGCUCACCGUAGACAGUGAACACCAUGUCUUGUCCUUUCCCAGUGAAGAUGUCGUAGACGAUGUUUCUGUAUCUGGAUCCAAACUCUACACCUUGCGUUUGGAGCACUUCCUUGGCUAGAUCCGGUGAAGAGAUGACGACUAUGUCUCGUUGACCCAUCCUUAGGUGGAAAAGGUCUCCGAACUUCUUAGCGUAGUCCACGAGGUUACGGUGAUUUAGAUCAUUUCCGACUUCAAGCCAGUUUCCGAAGACCGGGAUUGGUAUAGGACCAGGAGGUAGCUUCAGUUUCUUGCUGCAGAGCUUGGAGAUCAUUUUGGCGAGAACCACCGCCAAGAAGACGGCGAUUAGAGGUUUCUCCAACAAGAGAAGGUCCAUUACACUUCACUCUCAGUAGAUAAUGAAAGCAGAAGAAGCUGAUGCUUUGCUGAGGAGCAAAUGUUAAAUGGGAGGCUGUGUAUGUGAGGCUUAAAAAAGAUGGAUAUGUUUGGUCGAAGAGAGUUAUUAUUUAUUUAAUCUAGGUAACUCAAGUUCGCUUUGUCCUUUCUAAUUUUUUAAUGUAAUUAAGAAACGUUUAAUGUAAUAUUUCCAAUGGUUAAACGACUAAUAUAAUGUUAUUUUCUCCAUUUCUUUCACGUUUGAAAAUGAGUUCAAGAAUGUUAGUUAAAGCUAGAAAAAAACUCCAAAUUAAAUAAUUUUUUGUUCAACAAUCAUGUGGGUUUGAAAGUAUACAACAACAAUAUCUAUUCAAAAUAGUGGGAACCACUAUUGGCUUAUUGCAACCCUUUAAAGACAUUUUACAUAUACUAGAGCCGGUGUCCGCGCUCCGCGCGGAUUACAUAUUUAAUUAAAGUAUGUUAAUAUUUGUGUUAAUAGAUUUCUACGCGUUUUCCUGGGAUUAAAACAAGACUUAUUCUUAGGUCCAACCUCUAGGUUCACCAAGCAAUAUGAUUAUUUUAUUUUAUAUUCGAUAUCUUUUAAAAAAGAAACAAAAUAUUGUCAAAUUAUAUUAUGUUUUUAAAAUUAAAAGGUAAAAAAAAUAGUAAUAAUUACAAAAAAAAAUAUUUUACGUCGUCAGCAUAACAUUAAACCCUAAACCCUAAAUUAUAAUUCCUAAACCUUUAAUCCUAAACCCUAAACCCUUGGAUAAACUCUAAACUCUAGGAUAAAUCCUAAACUCUAGGAUAAAUCCUAAACUCUAAAUCAAAAUCACUAUACACUAAAACAUUCAAGCGUUUAGGGUUUAGGGUUUUAGUGUUUUUUAUUUAGAGUUUAGGAUUUAUCCAAGGGUUUAGGGUUUACCCAAGGGUUUAGGGUUUACCCAAGGGUUUAGGGUUUAUCCAAAGGUUUAGGGUUUAGGAUUUAGGGUUUAGGGAUUAGGAUUUAGGGUUUAGUGUUUUGUUGAGAACAUUAAAAAUAUAUAUUUUUUUAAUUCUUUUUUUCUGUAACUAUUAUCUUUUUUUACUUAUUUAUUUUAAAAACAUAAUAUAAUUUGAGAAUAUUUUGUUUCCUUUUUUAAAAGAUAUCGAAUUUGAAAUAAUAAAAUCCUAUUGGUUGGUGAACCUAGAGGUUCACCCUAAGGGGUGACUCUUAAAACAAUGGUGAAGAGGUGCCGCAUGUUUGUAUAGAAAACGAUCAUCAUCUAAAAAUCUUCAUCACAAAAAUGUUUUUUUUUUUGCCAAAGUAUUUAAUUAUUCCUAUAUGUGUCUUCUAAGGGUGAAUGACGAAUCUGUUGAUACAGUUGGCAGCAUGAUUUUUUUAUUAAGAACUAAUUGUAAUUUCUUUCAUAAUUUGUAUUUUUAAAUAAAAAACAUAUUUUACUAAUAAUGUUUAUAUUUGUUUUAUUAGAGUUUUGUAACUAUAAAAUGAAUAAAAAUAUCUUUAUUUAGUACUUAUAUAAAAUUAUAUAGAGAUAGAUUAUUAAUUUAUGAUUAUGAUGGGACUAUAUAUUAAUUUGGAACAAAUAUUAAGCAACUCAAUUAGAUUCUUGCAAACCGGGGGAAAAGGAGUGGCCGGUCAUGUCGUCUGUAUUUUUACUUUUUCUCAAGUUUUUAAAACGUUUCGUAGCAAUAAACAAAAAUCAAAACGUAGCAUUUCAUUUACAUAUUUGGAAUCUUAUCAAAUAAGAUGUAACUUUUCUUUUUUUUGUGCACUUCAAAUUUAAUAAGAUGUAAAUAGUCAAAAAAAAAAAUAUAUAUAUAUAUAUAAAACAUAAUUUGUAUUUUAUAUUUGUUUUAUUAAAGUUUUAGAUUAAAGUAUUAAAUUAAUAUAUCAAUACUAAUAAUGUUUUUGAUUCAAAAAUGUACUUGUAAAUUCAAAAUUCCUCCCAUAAGCGGAGGAUCUUUGGCGGUUGGUUUGACCAUGGUAUUGAGGAACAAUCAAUCCUUAAACAAAGGAAAGAAUAUUUAAAUGUUAGGCAAAGUGAAAUGGUUGAUAAUAAAACAUAGUGAAAAAGGUCUCAACGGAUAAAAUGGAACCAUGAGAUUAAUUACAAACUAAAAUCUUAUAAAGCCAAAUAAAAACUAAAUAUUUUAUAUGACCGAUAGAUGUGAACUACAAUUGUAGUAGCUUAGCAGGCAGGAACUAUUAUAUUAAAUCAAAUUUUUUUGGCGGAGACCAAUAGCUAAAGACGGAAGAUUGUCGGUCUAUGUUUAAUCUUAACCAACUAAAAUCUUAUACGUUUGUUCGCACAGAUUAUCAAUAUGAAUCUAUUAUUAAAACAAUUGAAAAUAAACAGUGGAAGGUGAGCCAAACCCCACGUCCCCAACCGCAUACGGACUUAACUAUCCAACUCUUAAACAUAUCACUUAUGCCAAGAAAUUGACAAAAUUGUGACAUUCAAAUAUUGACUUACACAAAAUCUUGAACGGUUGGCGGUGGUGGUUUUUUCAGAGUGAGAGGGAAUGAAUAUAUGGUCUUCAGAUUAGAGUUCUUGAUCCUAAUGGUAGAAUAUAUGUUAUUUAAUUUUCAAUGAAUACAGUAGGCAUUUUUGGCAUGAAAUAUAACGAUUUCUUAAAAAUUAAAUUGUUCACCAGCUAUAAGAAUAUUAAGUAUGGGGCAAGUUAAAGUUGUAAAAAUCGAUUUUGAUUUAGGAUGGCAAAGAUGUGGUAGCUAGAAGACUAAUAAUCAACAAUCAAUGCAUGCAUUGUUUUAUUAUGAUGUAACUGGAGUUGAACCGGGUUAAACCGUGACUCUUCGCAUAUUUUAAUGGUUGGUUUUUUUUUUUUAAGUCCAGUCCAGAAUGACAUGGCAUAAUGGUUGGUUCUGAUUAUUUUGUUCAUGUGGCAAGGCUUAGGAGGCUAGGAUUUAGCUCCUUUUAUAUAGUAGGAUAACACAUCCAAUAGAUUUCACAAACAUCAUUAUCAUCCAUAAAGAAAAAGUCAUUUUGCAGAAACUACUUUUAUUUUAUUUUUUUGUAUAAAUUAUUUAAAAGGACCUUGGCUUCAUUACAAUUGUGGAGUGGUUAAGGAUGUGCAAGCUGAACUGUCCACCUUUCUCAGAAGUAUCAACUUUAGACUGUCCUGGAGGAGGAAGUAGCUCGAAGUUCUGUACCAACCUACCGAUAGUGAUUCCCAAAAUGGGCAACGCCAAUAUAAUCCCAGGACAGCUUCUACGUCCAACACCAAACGGCACAUACCUGAAGUCAUUACCAUUGGCUUCCACAUGCGCCUCUUCUUCAAAGAACCUCUCCGGCCUAAACUCUUCAGGUUUCUUCCAGCUCUCAGGGUUGUUCGCUAGCCACCAGGCAUUGACCAAGAUCUUGCUUUCCGCUGGGAUGUCGUAGCCAGCCAGCUUAGCGUCGUUGAGGUUCAUGUGUGGCACAAGGAGAGGUAUAGCCAUUCUUAGUCUAAGCGUCUCCUUGAUCACGGCUUGGAGGUAGGGAAGCUUGUGCAGCUCAGGCUCUGUGAUUUGAACGCCUGGUCCAAGAACCGUAUCGAUUUCGUUCCUUAGCUUGCUCUGGAUCUCAGGAUGGUUCACUAGCUCCGCUAUUCCCCACUCGAUAGACCACAAUGUUGUCUCAAUAGCUGUUUCACCACAAAUAACAAACUUAGUAUAGCCAUUACAAGAAAAGAAAACAAAAUAUAGCCAUUACAAGUAGGUAUCCAGCUCCUUUAGGUGUGUGACACAUAAACAUAUUGGUUGUUAAUGGACUGGCCAUAACGCUUUAUAUAUUAUUUAAAGUACUAUUAAAUUUCCAAUGUGGAAUACUUAUCCUUAAUAAAACAUAACAAUCUCAAUAGUUUCCUACGCAAGCAAGAAAUAUCUAGAGGAUUGGUUACGUAUUCUACAAGGAACAAAAACAGGGUAAGGUAAGUUACCAGCGACAUUGAUGUUCUCGACGAUGUAAAGAACGUUGUCCUCGUUGAUCUCUCCCUUCUGUUGAGCUUCAAUGAUAUGAUCAAUGGCGCAUUUCAAUCCUUCGCUUCCUGUAGGCUUCGAACUUGCGAUUU
RNAcentral lists this long non-coding RNA (6210 nucleotides) under Brassica rapa (field mustard). Its description in RNAcentral is "long non-coding RNA (BRAP_LNC001827)". The record is from RNAcentral. Lineage: Eukaryota; Viridiplantae; Streptophyta; Magnoliopsida; Brassicales; Brassicaceae.